GCCACAAUAAUCUUUAAUGAUUUUUUGAACAGUGAACUUCUAUGUCAUGAUUUAACCAAUAAACUAAAUUUAAAAUGAAAAAAAAAGAUAAAAAUGGGCUGGGUACAGUGGCUUAUGCCUGUAAUCCUAGCACUUUGGGAAGCCAAGGUGGGAGGAUCACUUGAAGCCAGCAGUUCAACACCAGCCUAGGCAACGAAGCAAGACCUCAACUCUAUAAAAAAAAUUUAUUUUAAUUAAAAUUACAAUUACAAAAAGAUAAAAAUGGUACACCUGAAUGGCGCACUUACCAUGGACGAGGCUUACAGGAACGGAAGUUGCCCUGGAUGAGUCAAUGAGUGAGUGAGUGGUGAGUGAAUGUGAAGGCCUAGGGCAUUACUGUACACUGCUGUGGACUUGAUAAACAUUGUACACGUAGGCUAUGCUAAAUGUGUAACAAGUAUUUUUCUUUCUUCAGUAAUAAAUUAAGGAAUGACACAGAGAAGAUCAGCAUGGCCCCUGUGCAAGGAUGACAUGUGAAUUAAUCUGUUCUCACAUUGCUGUAAAGAAAUACCCGAGAGUGGGUAAUUUAUAAAGGAAAGAAGUUUAACUGACUCACAGUUCAGCAUGGCUGGGGAGACCUUAGAAAAGAAACACAAUCGUGGCAGAAGGCAAAGGAAAAGCAGGGCACCUUCUUCACAAGGCAGCAGGAAGGAGAAGUGAGUGCAAGCAGGGGAAAUGCUAGACAUGUAUAAAACCAUCAGAUCUCGGCAGGGCGCGGUGGCUCAUACCUAUAAUCCUAGCACUUUG
RNAcentral lists this long non-coding RNA (786 nucleotides) under Homo sapiens (human). The record is from RNAcentral. Lineage: Eukaryota; Metazoa; Chordata; Mammalia; Primates; Hominidae.